UACGGAGGGUGCGAGCGUUAAUCGGAAUUACUGGGCGUAAAGCGUGCGCAGGCGGUUUGUUAAGCGAGAUGUGAAAGCCCCGGGCUCAACCUGGGAACCGCAUUUCGAACUGGCAAACUAGAGUCUUGUAGAGGGGGGUAGAAUUCCAGGUGUAGCGGUGAAAUGCGUAGAUAUAUGGAGGAACACCGGUGGCGAAAGCGGCUCUCUGGACUGUAACUGACACUGAGGCUCGGAAGCGUGGGUAGCAAACAGG
This 253-nucleotide ribosomal RNA is filed under the name uncultured microorganism. RNAcentral's name for it is "partial 16S ribosomal RNA". It matches the Rfam family "Bacterial small subunit ribosomal RNA", at positions 524 to 776 of the family's 1533-position model. The record is from RNAcentral.